GUGGUUAGCAUUCGUCGCCAACGAGAAAUUGGGGUCGGCCCGAAAGCUCUAGAAUGCACCCCCCUUCUUCCCCGGGGCCUUCCACCUCCGCGAGUUUUAUGACUUAAAAAACCCCACAGGCUGGUCUGAAGGUCGGAGGCCUAAUUUUAACGCGUUUUCCUCCCUUUAAUUUGAAACGCGAACGCGAAUGGCUGUAAAAUAGGAAGACAAACAUAAAGAUGAAGUGCUUAAUUCAAGGUCACACAAUGUCGGGGAUGGACCUCCAGAUUUCCUUACUGACCUGCAUUAUCUUGUGGAUACCUGAGUGAAUUCCACACCACCCAUUUUAUAGAUGAAACCACUGAGACAUGGAGCAACUGACUGAGUAGUCACUGCCCCACCCCUGCCUGGAGCCUCACACAUGACUCGUCUCCUCUCAGUGACCACAGGUUGGUUGAGGGGUUUAACAAGGCUAAGAAGUACUUAUCCUGUAUUACAUGAAGGAAAUGAAAUAAAAAGACUGCAACCCCACUCCCAGCUACUCAGUGAGGUGGUAGCUAGAGACGGAGUCUUGCUAUGUUGCCCAGGCUGGUCUUGAACUCCUCACCUCAAGCGAUCCUCUCGUCUUGGCCUCCCAAGUGUCAGGAUUACAGGCAUGUGCUAUCACACCCAACCUGAUACAUUGCCUUUAUAAAUUUUUUUUUCUUUAUUCUAAAAACCAGAAAAAACAAAACUGGAUACAUGUGCAGAACAUGCAGACCAAGUGUGUUGGGGACUUGAGAUGCGUACAUGAGUGUUUGUGAUGUUUCCUGCCGAAAGCACAGGUGAGACGUGGUCUUGUAACACAGUGGUUAAGAAUGUGACUUUGGAGCCAGCCUGCUAGGGGCUGAAUUCUGACUCAGCCAUUUACUAACUGUGUGACCUUAGGGAGGAGGACCUGGUUGAUAGAAGAAUUUAUCUCGUAGUCUUAACAUCCACUGUAAUUCCAAACUUUGAGGACGAUAGAGAUCAGUGGGCUUUGACUGCCCAGCAUGCAGUCUCCAUU
Molecule: non-coding RNA, 1024 nt
Filed under: Pan troglodytes (chimpanzee)
Lineage: Eukaryota; Metazoa; Chordata; Mammalia; Primates; Hominidae
Source: RNAcentral